Molecule: ribosomal RNA, 810 nt
Filed under: uncultured Actinomycetes bacterium
Lineage: Bacteria; Bacillati; Actinomycetota; Actinomycetes
Description: bacterial SSU rRNA
Rfam family: Bacterial small subunit ribosomal RNA
Source: RNAcentral
CCGCGGGAUUAGAGUUUGAUCCUGGCUCAGAAUCAACGCUGGCGGCGUGCCUAACACAUGCAAGUCGAACGAGAAAGUGGAGCAAUCCAUGAGUAAAGUGGCGCACGGGUGAGUAACACGUGACUAACCUACCCUUGAGUGGGGAAUAACUUCGGGAAACCGAGGCUAAUACCGCAUAACACCUACGGGUCAAAGGAGCAAUUCGCUUAAGGAGGGGGUCGCGGCAGAUUAGUUAGUUGGCGGGGUAAUGGCCCACCAAGACAGUGAUCUGUACCCGGCCUGAGAGGGCGCACGGACACACUGGAACUGAAACACGGUCCAGACUCCUACGGGAGGCAGCAGUGGGGAAUUUUGCGCAAUGGGGGAAACCCUGACGCAGCAACGCCGCGUGGAGGAUGAAGUCUCUUGGGACGUAAACUCCUUUCGAUCGGGACGAUAAUGACGGUACCGAGAGAAGAAGCCCCGGCUAACUUCGUGCCAGCAGCCGCGGUAAUACGAGGGGGGCGAGCGUUGUUCGGAAUUAUUGGACGUAAAGGGUGCGUAGGCGGUUCGGUAAGUCUUGUGUGAAAUCUUCGGGCUCAACUCGAAGUCUGCACGAGAAACUGCCGGGCUUGAGUGUGGGAGAGGUGAGUGGAAUUUCCGGUGUAGCGGUGAAAUGCGUAGAUAUCGGAAGGAACACCUGUGGCGAAAGCGGCUCACUGGACCACAACUGACGCUGAGGCACGAAAGCUAGGGGAGCAAACAGGAUUAGAUACCCUGGUAGUCCUAGCCCUAAACGAUGAUCGCUUGGUGUGGCGGGUACCCAAUCCC